GAUGAAUGGAUGUUUUGAUUAUUUCAUGUAUUUCAUAAAUUUUAAAGGUUGUUUCACGAGCCAGUUACCACUCCAUGUGGUCACACUUUCUGUAAAAACUGUAUCGAGAGGAGCCUGGACCACAACCUCCGCUGUCCGCUCUGCAAGCAGCCGUUACAAGAGUACUUGAAGAAUAGGAAGUACAAUAUCACAGUUGUGGUUCUGGAUAUCAUGGCCUGCCUUUUCCCCUCACAGCUGGCCGAACGGAAACAAAUACAUGAGGCAGAGAUGGCAGAACUGUCAAACCUCACUAAGGACAUCCCUAUAUUUGUUUGCACUGUGGCCUACCCUGGGGUGCCGUGUCCUUUGCACAUCUUCGAGCCUCGAUACCGACUGAUGAUGCGUCGCUGUAUGGAGACAGGAACGAAAAAGUU
Long non-coding RNA from Hippocampus comes (tiger tail seahorse), 413 nucleotides. RefSeq lists it as uncharacterized. The transcript is spliced from 3 exons. Lineage: Eukaryota; Metazoa; Chordata; Actinopteri; Syngnathiformes; Syngnathidae. The record is from RefSeq and is a predicted model, not a curated record.